GGCCUGUAACCUUUUUAUGUAUUGGAGCAUCUGCUCAUUAUUUAGAUUGCUCAGAUAAGUCUCAUUAACUAUUGAGGGUGUGUUUUAUCCACUACCAAGAGUGGAGAAAAUGAUUAUACCCUUAUUAGCAGCAGUGUUAGUAGAAGCUCGUGAAUUGUCAACUAUUUUAGAGAAUAGAAAAAAAAAGUUUAUUUUUAAGAGGAAAGUGAAUGAAAGACGGCUUUCUAUUCCAAUUGAACAGAGAAAAUCCAUUAGAAUUUCCAGCAAUAGAAUCAAAUGAUGUGGUUAAAAUGAGACUGUGCUGCAAUUGAUCAACUUGCAAGAAAAAGAAAGCGAGGUGAUUAGCGCCUAUGGCAGCCACUCCGAUACUCAAAUCAGUAAAUUGAAAAAAAUGGCGAAUGUAAUGAGAUACUUUGAACUCAAGUGUAGAUGUGUCAUAAGAGCAUACCUUAAUCUCUAUAUUCAUAUGCUUUUAUACUGUAAAAAGAUAGAGUUUGUUAUCACAUCUCUUGGAACUCCAACUAGUACCAGUUAGUGAUAUGAGAUCACACGAUUAUAGGUGUAAUGAAGAUGUGUUGGAUUGCGUUCUCUAACGGUAACUUUCUAUGGAAUUUCACUCUGUAGUUGAAAGAGUGAGUUUUGAUGAAAAGCUGAGACCUAUGGUGUCUAGGUCUCUUUUUUCGCCAAUGAGACUCAAUAUCAUCUGAUUAGAUCCUUAGCACAUGUUUCUGUUUUCAAAUGCCAAUUCAUGACCUACUUUGAAUGAUUGUUGUGCUAUAUCAGUUAUAUAAUUUUUUUUUAGUAUAAAUACUUCAAAAUAAAUUAAAUAAAUAUUUUAUUUUGAAAAAAUCAAAUUGCCCCUAAGCAAUAUAUAAGAUUUUUAAUUUCAAAAUGAAAUAAAUAAAUCCAUCAAUUUAAAAAUAUAUUAAAACAUACUAAAUUAUAAACUUAAACAAAGUUUUGUGCAUAAAAUCCUCAUUUACUGUAUUUUAGAACAUAUUAAUAUUUUUUUAUUGUGUGAUUCAAAAAAUUUUAUUAUGGAUUUAUUAUAUUCAUUAUAAGUACUGUCUUUUUUAUUAUAAUAUAAUAAAAUGCAAUUCUGAUUAUUAUGUUGAGAACAUAGAUAUGAGCAGAUAAUUUAAACUCUGAUUUAAUAUUUAAAAAAAUAAUAAUUGCAAACAAAUGAGGCAUAAAAAGAUAUAAAUUAAAAAACAUAGUUUACCCGAUUUACUUUUAAAAUUCAAAAAAUUUAUUUAAUUUAUUUUUAAAAAUUUUAUAUAUCUUUUAAAUAUUUAUUUUAUUUAUUUUUUAUUUAAAAAAUUUGUUUGGGCUCGUAUAAUUAUUGAUUUCUAUUUUAGUAGCCAAAUUAGACUUUUUGGGUUUACUCAAUAAUUUCUUCGUUACUUUAACAAUGGAAGGCGGGUGCACCCGAGUAGGAGGCCACUGAUGACGUGGCAACAUCAUCUGCAUGUUCGGUCCCACGUAAGGAAGUUCGUUUGUUCCUUGAUGAAGGACUCCUUCGUCUCAGAAUUCUAUUCUAGUAAAACAGCUUAGAGCUCUCUCUCUAAUCUCCAGGAAAGCCAAUCACAAGGUUUCUGCUUCAAAACUUUCUGCUCCUCUUCAACGUUGUAAUCUCUAACUCAUUUACUUUCUGGUAUGUCAGCGAUUCCCUUCUUCUCUCUUUCUAUCACUUAUCUCUCUUCGGGUAUGUGAAUAGUCUCUGAGCUCCUUAGGUUUCAUGAGUUCUGAUAACAGAUAAUUCAAAUUUUGGGCAGAAUUGCAAAAUAGAUUGGUUCCCAGAAAGAAUAUUAGACCCAAAAAAUAAAACGUCUUUUUAUGCUGGUCCUUUUUUAUUGUUUAUUUUUUCAUUUGGAAUUUUUGUAGGAUAUCAGUGCAAGUUCUCUUAUUCUCUGUUUCUUAGUUAAUUCUCAUAUGUUAUGCAUAUUUUUUUUUGCCCUUGUUAGCGAUUCAAUUACUUUUGAUUCCUUUAUUUUAGUUCUGCUCAGUUUGUUUUCUGUUCAAAUUAUUAGUUUCAGGGUUUUGUAUAAUUAUUACUAUGAUCAGUUUGGAUCGAGACUUUGAAUAUGAAUCUCCUGUUUGCUUGCAGUCGAAGGCUAUCAAGUGGGGUUAUAAGGGUCUAAUCUAAAUAUUCUUCAAAGGGUUUGUGCAUUUUAAUUUCAUUUUUGAAUAUGUCCUCAUCUAACAGUAAUACUCACACUGAAGCUGCUAAAAUGGAACAAAUUAUCGCUGAAUUUUUUGCUAAAAGUCUCCACAUAAUAUUGGAGUCGAGGUCUCCUGCUAUGUCAUCUCGUAAUUACAGUGCUGAUCAAGCUGCAUCGUCUCCAUCUUCCUCUUCGUCCUCCUCUACAAGCGUAAGGCCUAGAGAUAAAUGGUUUAAUUUAGCCCUUAGGGAAUGCCCGGCUACGCUUGAGAAUCCAGAUAUCUGGCGUCGUAUGAAUCUGGAACCAAUGGUUGUUGAUGUGAUUUUGGUGCAGAGACCACCCGAUAGGGACCCUGCAAAUUCUUCCCUGAAAAAGGAUUUGUUUAGGAAUCCUUACUUGAAGGAACGUUAUCCUUUUAGUUGGAAUUCUGAUCAAGAAGAAUUAGGAUAUGAUGCUAAGACUGAGAAAAUUAUAGAGAGAUGGAUAGUGCAGUGUGAGAGUAGGAGGUUAAGGGAUAAUGGUUCUGGCAGUAGGAGAUCAAUUGGUACUUUGCAUACGUUCUAUAAGAAAUUAAUAUUACUUUUGAGGUCUUUGUAUGCAACUGUUAGGCUUCUUCCUGCACAUAAGAUUUUCCGCGACCUCAAUUCGUCUGGACAGAUUCGCACAUUUACCCUUACUCAUAGGGUUUCUUCUUUUGUUGAGCCCUUCACUCGCAAGGAAGAGACUGAAAUGCAGCGAUUUGGGUUCAAUCCUGUGGAUACUUCCUGUGGUAGGCUUUGCCUUUCAGUAGUCUAUCGUUCAUCACUCUCAGACAUAAGGUCUGAAUCAUCAACCCAAAUGUCCCCCCAAUUUAUCCCUGACUAUGUUGGGAGCCCAUUGGCAGACCCACUGAAAAGGAUCCCUUCUCUUCCUCUAUCACAUGGUUCUCCAUCAUCCUUGCCAUUCUCAAGACGACAUAGUUGGAGUUAUGACCUUUAUAAAGCUUCUCCACCUUCAGUUUCUUUCUCACCAUCUCCUACUCAUUCAGAAUCACAUGCAUCAAUUUCUAAUCCAAGUUCCCGUCGCUUCCCAACUAUGAACUUGCCUCCUCAUCCACCUGAAAUAUCUUCAGUUCAUAAGAAAAAUAUGAGCUAUGAUGAGUAUUGUCCUUCCCCUAACUUUACACCCUCCCCAUCACCAUCACCACCAAUCUACAUUCCUGGGCGUCAUCUGGCUAAGGCUCUUUUACGGUCUGAAAGUGCACCUGUUAGCAUACCUACAGGCAAGCUUUCUAGUUCCCCUGUGUUGUCCAACAAGCAAAAUUUGCCUCCAUCUCCUCCCCUCAAAGGUACCAGAUCUGGCAAUCCUAGGACUGAUACAAGCACAGGUUUUGUGCAGACUGGUGCAUCAGUUGAGAAGGUAUUAUAUAUGCUCAAUACAGUGAACUUUCUUGCAAUUGUUCUUGUUUAAUUUAGGAAUCUUUUUAUAUGCUGUAGUUGUUCUCCCUUGGAAAAGAUGACACUAGAAAGUAUUCGGGGAUGAGGAUACCAUCCAACAGCUCUCCACAGAUUUCAUUUUCCAGAAGUCCCAGCAGGUCUUUUCCAGAUGAUUUUGAUGAUCCUGACUUUCCUUGCCCAUUUGAUGUAGAGGAUGAUGAUAUGACAGAUCCAAGUAGCAGGUAAUUGGUUAAGUAGUCUUAGCUAUCACCUUGCUUCUGUUGUAUUAAAUUUUGAUAGGAACAUUAUAACUGGCUCUAAUCACUUGCUAAGAGCUUCAGAAGUUAUUACAAAUAAUGAUAUUAUAUGUAUAUUGAAAUAUCAGAGUGGAAAUUUUUUUGAUUAGGAGUCAAAUUGUCCCAUUUUUCUUACUGAAACAUUGAGAGUACAGCUUACCAAUUAGGGCAGAAUGUCCCAAUUCAGAUCUGCUCAUGGAUUACGAGUGACAUCAAUUUGUGAUCGAAACUUAGAUAUACCACAGGGCUUCACUAAUUUUCCAUGAUUUAAGUUUGAUGUUUUUUUUAUUUUUUUUUCUUUUAGUAAAUGGUGCAUAUAUGUAUAUAAUUUGUGGUACGUGUAAAAACCACUCAAAGGGUUUCUUUGUAAGAGUUCAUAUCCCUGCCAUGGUUUCUCAAAUAUCUUGACCUUUGCUAAGAAUUGAUCUUGACAUUUUAAAGCUGGUCUUUUAAACGAAGUGAGUAAUUAUUCAACAGCUGAGCUGAAAUAUAAUGUGGAUUGUGGACAUUGCAUGUUACUGGCCUAUAUUUUGACAGCAAAACGGGAUAACAGAAUUGAUCAAGACAACACAAAUUGAUAGGAGUUUAAAAUUUAACUUCAAAAUCUCUUACUAUGCAAAUACUCUGAUUGUACCAUGCCAACAAAUAGAAGGCCAAUCAAAAUAUUGGGGAUGUUUGCAUAGGCUGUUGAACAAGUUGCAUGUGUUGGGAAAAAGGGUAACUUGCAAAUGCUUAUUUCUUCAGUUGGUUAUGCAAAGGGGUAUGGACAAAAAUAUAUCAUAUUUUAGCAGUUGUGAAAAUGAAAAAUAUAUUUAGUUUUACACAAAAUUGCUACUGCAAAUUUGUUCUCUUAGUACUUGUAGAAAAUUAGGUAUGCUUGUGGAUUUUGCUAAAGUUUCUUUGGUUUUAUAUUCUGUCAAAUCUGUUAUAUAUAUUGAAUUGAGUGGAAGAGCAUCAAUGUAUUAUUUGUUGAGAAGAGGAGGACUUUUAUAAAUCCUUAUUCUGAUGCCAAAUGUUACUCAUCCAACUGCUUUCAAGUUUCCAAGCAAACAUAAAAGCAAACAUCGCUUUGAAUUGAUUUUUGCUAAUUGCUGGAAUGUUUUUCAGGAGAGAAUUUUAUUCAGUGAAUUGUGAUGCUUUUUGAUUAGGGACCUUUGAAUUGAUGAUGGUUGCUUUUAUUGUAUAUAACUAAUUGAGUGGCCAAAAGACUUCGAACUGAAAUAUGCUUAAUAGUGGUUGCCAUUUCCCCUGCAAUAAUGCAUAUACAAAUUAGUUUUGUCAGUCUUCAUGUUCAUUUAUCUUGUACUAUUAAAGGUUGUGUAUAAGUUUGUUGUUAAAUCUUGGCAAAUGUGCUUUGUUUUCACCCUGUUGUGCACAUAAGUCUUUUUUUCUUUUUGCCAAGUGCAUGUAAAUUAGGUCAGACCAUAGUUGUCAAUGGUGCACAUAAAGUCUGCUAUGUGAGCACCAGACCAGCAGAUGAAAGAGAAAGAAGACAGACAGGAAGAAGAAAGGCAUAGGGAAUGUUAGAGUAUGAACAUAAUCAUAGGAGAUUACAUAAUCAUAGGCUAAUUGAUUGAUAGAGGAUUCUUAGGAGUUGCCUUAACAAGGUCUUGUAAUCUGUAUAUAUACACACUUAUUUCAAUGGAGAAAUAUACUGAAAUUGCCCAAUUAUUCAUUAUUUUAUUACAUAGUAUCCGAGUCAUUCCUGUAGAGAUUUAAUUUUUUUUCUCUCCCGUCGAGUUUUAAAUUUUUUUUUUUGGAGACUUAGGGCUCCUAUUCUUUUGGGUUACCCAUCUAGGGUAAUAUUUGUCUUUCACAGCCCAUCUAGAGAGGACGCCGGAGUUGCCUUGUAGCCCCUUGUUAAAUUUGUGGGGAUUGUAUGUAAUAAAGGGGUAUUGCAUACACUUGAUAGAUGGGUCAGUUAUUGUAUUACUUCCUAUUCAUUAUCUUAUCACCUAGGAAGUAAAUAUUGAUAGAUGGGUCAGUUGCUUAAUCUUAGGGAUUGUAUAAUCAUAGGCUUGAUUUUCCUUCCUAUUUAGUUACCGUCUCUCAUAUAUAAAUAGGUUGUAAUCUUUAUUGUGAUAUACAAUAAAUAUUAUCCUUUUACAUGGUAUCAGAGCCUGGUUCAUAGAGAUUUUUUUUCCCUUUUCUCUCUCGUAAAGUUUUAAAAUUUUUUUUGGAGACUUAGGACUCCGUUCAUUUGGGUUAUCCAUAAAGGGUAACAUUUGGAUCUCACAAUCGCUGGAGUCAUCACACCGACUCCUUGUCAGAUUUGAGGUUUGUUUGCCGUUCGGGUGUUGGGGGAGGUGUUUUAUUUGGUACUGUUCAUCGGCACUGUUCAGGGGUACUGUUCAUCGGCACUGUUCACCGGUACUGUUCACGUGGUACUGUUCAUCGGUACUGUUCACGCCGGGUACUGUUUUCUGAUUCCGUGUUUCUUUUGUUGCUAUCGUUUUUGGGUUGGUUGUCCUUAUGGCUGAAGUUAAAACCACCACCGUAACUGAUGUGAUUUCUAUGAUGACUAAAAUCACGGAACACAAAUUGAAUGGAUCUUUCGAUCAGGGAAUUUUGAUAUCUGCAGAUGAGUAUGCACAAUUCAUCCAAUACCAGGCAUCUAUAAAAUCUUCUAAUUCCUCCUCUAUCACUGCAAUUGCCGAGUCAGGUAACUCUACUGCAUUUCUUGUGUCUUCAUCCUCCAAAUGGGUUAUUGAUUAUGGUGCUACCGAUCAUAUGUCAGGUAAUUCUACCCUUUUGUCCAAUCUUGAGUCUCAUACAUCGCCUUCUUAUGUUACUCUUGCUGAUGGCACUAAAUCGUCUGUCAUGGGUUCUGGUCAUGUCAACUUAACCCCUUCUCUUUCUGUAUCCUCUGUGUUAUGUCUCCCUAAGUUCGCAUUUAAUUUGCUUUCCAUGAGUAAACUCACUCGUGCAUUGAAUUGUUGUGUCUCAUUCUUUCCUGAUCACUGUGUUUUUCAGGAUCUUUCGACGAAGCAGAUUAUUGGUAGAGGAAGUGAGUCAGAGGGUCUUUACGUCUUGGAUCAGCAACUACCUCGAUCUCCUCGAUCUCUGGUAUGCUCCACGCGUUUAACACCUUUUGAUGUUUAUUGUCGUUUAGGACAUCCUUCUCUCUCGGUUUUGAAGAAGUUAUAUCCACAGUUUCAUUCUUUGUCUAUUCUAGAUUGUGAGUCUUGUCAAUUUGCCAAACAUCAUCGUUUACCUACUCUGUCUCGAGUCAAUAAACGGGCUUCGUCUCCCUUUGAGUUAGUCCAUUCAGAUGUUUGGAGUCCUUGUCCUGUUGUGUCUAAGUCUGGCUUUAAGUAUUUUGUUACCUUUGUUGAUGAUUUCUCUCGUACUACUUGGUUAUUUUUAAUGAAGAGUCGUUCAGAAUUAUUUUCUAUUUUUUGUGCAUUUUAUGCUGAAAUCCAAACCCAAUUCAAUACUUCCAUCCGUAUAUAGCAAAGUGAUAAUGCUAAAGAGUAUCUCUCUGGGGAAUUUCAAUCUUAUUUGUUACAAAAAGGGAUUCUUCAUCAGUCCUCUUGUGUUGCCACUCCUUCACAAAAUGGAGUUGCUGAAAGAAAAAAUCGACAUCUUCUUGAAGUAGCCAGAGCCCUCUUAUUCCAAAUGAAGGUACCUAAAUAUUUUUGGGCUGAUGCUGUAUCCACUGCUUGUUUUUUGAUCAAUCGCAUGCCUUCCUCCGUCCUUCAUGAUGAUAUCCCUUAUAACAUUUUAUUUCCCAUUAAAUCUUUGUUUCCCAUUGAGCCACGUCUCUUUGGUUGUACUUGUUUUGUUCGUGAUGUUCGUCCACAGGUUACUAAAUUGGAUCCCAAAUCACUCAAAUGUGUCUUCCUUGGCUACUCUCGAUGUCAGAAAGGGUAUCGUUGUUUUUCUCCUGAUCUGAAUCGGUAUCUUGUGUCUGCGGAUGUAACAUUCUUUGAGUCCACUCCGUUUUUUCCGCCAUCAUCUGUUUAUAACACCCAGGAGGAGGAAGAUGAUCUCUUGUUAUACACUGUUCGCUCUUCGUCUCCUCAGACUACUCCUACACCUUUCGCUCAUGUGCCAGGUCGCCCUCCCAUCUUUCAUGUGUAUUCCAGACGCUUAGAGGACUCUGACUCCGUUCCGCUACCCGCUUCUUCGUCGACCGAUCUUGCUCCUACUGAUCCUUCAUUGUCUGAUUUGGAUUUGCCCAUUGCUCUUCGCAAAGGUAAACGUACUUGCACUUAUCCUAUUUCAUCUUGUGUCUCUUAUGAUCAAUUAUUCUCCUCUUCUUGUUGUUUUGUCACUGCUUUAGAUUCUAUUUCAAUUCCCAAAACUGUUAUUGAGGCUUUGUCCCAUCCUGGUUGGCGUGCUGCAAUGGAAGAGGAAAUGAUGGUAAGUGUGAUCACUCAGUGUUUUAUAGAAAUUCUGAUAGUGGAGUAAUUCUGCUUGUAGUAUGUGUGGAUGAUAUCGUUAUCACAGGAAGUGACAUUGCUGGCAUCACAUCCUUAAAAGAAUUUCUUAAAACACAGUUUCAUACAAAAGAUUUGGGUUCCUUGAAAUAUUUCUUGGGAAUCGAAGUUAUGCGGUGUAAGAAAGGCAUCUUCUUGUCUCAAAGAAAAUAUGUUCUUGAUUUGUUGGCAGAAACAGGAAAAUUGGGUGCUAAGCCUUGUAGUGCCCCAAUGACCCCUAACCUUCAACUUACCACAGAAGACAGUGAGCCAUUUGCAGAUCCUGGAAGGUAUAGAAGAUUAGUUGGCAAGCUGAAUUAUUUGACGGUGACUCGUCCUGAUAUUGCAUAUUCAGUGAGUGUGGUAAGUCAGUUUAUGUCUUCUCCUACUGUUGCCCAGUGGGAUGCUCUGGGACAGAUUCUUUGUUACCUUAAAGGGGCCCCAGGGAGAGGCCUAUUCUAUGGUAACCAUGAACACUCAAAUAUUGAAUGCUUUUGUGAUGCUGAUUGGGCAGGCUCGAAAGUUGAUAGGAGGUCAAUUACUGGGUAUUGUGUUUUUGUGGGAGGUAACUUGGUCUCAUGGAAAAGUAAGAAGCAAAAUGUGGUCUCCCGUUCUAGUGCUGAAUCUGAAUAUCGAGCUAUGGCACAAGCCGUUUGUGAAAUCUUGUGGGUACGUCAACUGUUGGAAGAAGUUGGGUUCACAAAUUCGGUGCCUGCUAAGUUGUGGUGUGAUAAUCAAGCAGCUAUCCAUAUUGCCUCCAAUCCAGUAUUUCACGAGAGGACUAAACACAUCGAGAUUGAUUGUCAUUUUGUUCGUGAAAAGGUCCAACAAAAGAUAAUAUCAACAGAACAUAUCCGAACUGGAGAACAAUUAGGAGAUAUUUUCACUAAAACUCUAAAUGGGACUCGAGUUGAUUAUAUAUGUAACAAGUUGGGCAUGAUUAACAUUUAUGAUCCAACUUGAGGGGGAGUGUUAUAAGUUAUAGAAAGUAAAUAUGUUAAUAUAGGAAGUAAAUAUUGAUAGAUGGGUCAGUUGCUUAAUCUUAGGGAUUGUAUAAUCAUAGGCUUGAUUUUCCUUCCUGUUUAGUUACCAUCUCUCAUAUAUAAAUAGGUUGUAAUCUUUAUUGUGAUAUACAAUAAAUAUUAUCCUUCUACAAUAAUCAUAGGAGAUUACAUAAUCAUAGGCUAAUUGAUUGAUAGAGGAUUCUUAGGAGUUGUCUUAACAAGGUCUUGUAAUCUGUAUAUAUACACACUUAUUUCAAUGGAGAAAUAUACUGAAAUUGCCCAAUUAUUCAUUAUCUUAUUACAUAGUAUCCGAGUCAUUCCUGUAGAGAUUUAAUUUUUUUUCUCUCCCGUCGAGUUUUAAAUUUUUUUUUUGGAAACUUAGAGCUCCUAUUCUUUUGGGUUACCCAUCUAGGGUAAUAUUUGUCUUUCACAGCCCACCUAGAGAGGACGCCGGAGUCGCCUUGUAGCCCCCUUGUUAAAUCUGUGGUUCGUUUGGGUAUUGGGUGGAGGCAUUCUUGAUACUGUUCAGCUGGGUACUGUUCACGACGGCUAUUGUUCACUGGGUUAGGUUUUGUUAUCUUCCUUUAAUUCGUUUGAAGAUAUAGGAGUAUAGGGUUUUGGUUGAAUGGCUUCUGACAGUAAAACUCAUAUUAUUAAAAUUAUUCCAGUGUCUUCAGUAGUGACUGAGACAGGUAAAAUGUGUCUUAUUUCCUCUUUAUAUAAAUGGGUCAUUGAUUCUGGUGCCACAGAUCACAUGAUAGGUAAUCCUCAUAUUUUUAUUAGCUUUCGAUCUCAUAAAGCACCUUCUCCUAUUAUUAUAGUUGAUGGGUCAACCUAUAAUAUUGAGGGUUCUGGGAUUGUUAAACCUACUCCUUGUAUUACCUUACCUAAUCUUGCUUUUAAUUUAAUCUCUAUGAGUAAACUUACUAAAUACCUAAAUUUUUGUGUUUCCUUUUUUCCUGAUCAUUCUCUCAUUUAGGAUCUUGUGACGAAGCAGAUUAUUGGUGAAGAAUUUUGGGAAAAUUUAGAGAAUUCUUGUAUUUCACUCUUAAUCUUUACAAUUGAUUUACAUGACUAUUUAUACACAAAGAAUUAUAUCUAAACAGGAAGUAAAUAAUCAAAUAAUAAUUACAGAGAUAAUUAAGGAUCCUAAUCAAAUCAAAUCAUAUUCCUAGAAUCAGUUGGGAUCAGCAAAUAAGUCAACACUCCCCCUCAAGUUGGUGCAAAGAUGUCGCACAUGCCCAACUUGCAAAUCAAAUUAUGGUAGAUCUUGUUGUUGAGCCCUUUAGUAAACACAUCCGCAAGUUGCCCAGUAGAAGUCACAUGAACUAGACUCAAGACACCGUCUAUUAAUUUUUCUUUAAUGAAGUGCUGAUCAAUUUCAAUGUGUUUCGUCCGGUCAUGUUGGACUGGAUUUUGUGCUAUACUUAUAGCAGCUUUAUUGUUGUCUCUCUCGGGCAACCUCAACUCCCUCAAUAAUUUCUGCAACCAUAAGAGUUCACACACACCUUGGGCCAUUGCUCUGUAUUUUGCUUCAGCACUUGACCGAGCAACAACACUUUAUUUUUUGCUCCUCCAGGUGACAAGGUUCCCUCCCACAACUGUGCAGUAGCCAGAGGUGGAUCUCCUGUCAUCGAGAGAUCCUGCCCAAUCUGCAUCUGUAAAAGCUUAAACUCGAAGGUGACCAUGUUUGGAGUAAAGAAGCCCUUUUCCUGGCGCAGACUUUAAGUGUCUCAAGAUGCGCAAUACAGCCUGCAUAUGAGUCUCGCGAGGGUCAUGCAUGAAUUGGCUGACUAAGCUAACAACAUAGGCUAUAUCCGGUUGAGUGUGUGAGAGAUAAAUCAACCUUCCUACCAAUCUCUGGUAUCUUCCAAUAUCCACGGACUCACCAGUUCUUGCUUCCAGCUUGUGAUUACUUUCAAUGGGAGAUUCUGCUGGUUUACACCCCAUCAUACCGGUUUCUUCCAAAAGAUCCAGAAUGUACUUUCUUUGCGAGAUGAAAAUUCCUUUUUCUGAUCUAGCCACCUCGAUACCUAGAAAAUAUUGAAGUUUUCCUAGAUCUUUGAUUUCAAAUUCCUGAGCCAACAACCUUUUUAGUUUAGCCAUUUCCUCUUUGUCAUCAUCUGUCACCACUAUAUCAUCAACAUAUACAAUAAGAAGGGUGAUCUUACCUUUGUGAUGUUUAAUAAACAGAGUGUGAUCAACAUUACUUUGUUGGUAACCAAAGGACAUCAUAGCUUUGCUAAACCUGUCAAACCAAGCUCUGGGAGAUUGUUUUAGCCCAUACAAAGCCUUUUUUAACCUGCACACCUUUCCUUGUGUCUUCUCAUCAGCGAACUCAGGAGGAAUUUCCAUGAACACUUCUUCCUCUAAAUCUCCAUGGAGGAAAGCAUUCUUCACAUCAAAUUGUUGUAAGUCCUGGUCCAAGUUGGCUGCGCAAGAUAACAGGACUCUGAUUGAGUUCAUUUUUGCAACUGGGGCAAAUGUCUCUUGGUAAUCCACUCUAUAGGUUUGGGUGAAUCCUUUAGCAACCAAUCUGACCUUAAACCGUUCAAUUGUGCCAUCAGCUUUGUGUUUCACUGUGAACACCCAUUUACAGCCAACGAGUUUCUUCCUAGGCGGGAGAGUGACAAGCUCCCAGGUCUCAUUUUUAGCCAAUGCUUUCAUCUUUUCAAUCAUUGCUUUCUUCCAUUUAGGAUCUGCAAGAGCUUUCUUCCAAUUCUGUGGAAUAGACUCAGAGGAAAUAGACAAAGCAAAGGCUCUAUAGGAAGGAGAUAAGGAUUCAUAAGAAACAAAGUUAGAAAUAUGGUGUUUAGUACAAGAUCUGACCCCUUUUCUUUGUGCAAUAGGUUUAUCUAAGUCAUUGAAGCAUUCAAGAAUUGUGGGUAACUCACUAGAAGAAAGAGUUGUGGGUAACUUACCAGAAGAAGAUUCUUGACUGGGUAACUCACUAGGAGAAGAUUCUUGACUCUGAGUAGACUGCAUAAUAGCUUCUUCUGCGUUGUCUCUCCUCGAAUACCUUCUCAAAUCUGGCUUGUCCAAACGAUCAAUUCUCUCUCCCUGAUUGAACAUCUCCCUCUGUCUACUAGAAUUCAAACUUUCUAGUUGAAUCAUAUCAUUCAGAAUUACAGAAUUCGGGAUCACCUCUUCUUAUUUAUUAUUCUCCCUCUGAAGAGGUGAGUGGGUGGUACUGAAGUAGGGUUCAAUUUCUCGGAAAGUAACAUCCAUACUGACUAAGUAUUUCCUAGAGGGAGGAUGAUAACACUUGUAUCCCUUCUAUGUUGGAGAAUACCCAACAAACACAUAUUUAAGGGUCUUGGGAUCCAAUUUCCCUGCCGUCCUAGUAUGGACAAAGCAAACACACCCCAAUACUUUUGGUGGAACAACGUAUGAAUUCUUCCCUUGUAGAACCGCCAAAGGACUCAUAAAGUCAAGGGUCUUGAGAGGCAUUCUAUUGAUAAGAUAAGCAGAUGCAAGGAUUGCAUCUCCCCAAUAUGCUUUGGAUAGAUUCAUGGUGAACAUAAGAGAUCGAGCUACCUCCAAUAGAUGCCUAUUUUUCCUCUUAGCAACGCCAUUUUGAGCACUAGUAUAAGGACAACUAGUCUGGUGUACUAUCCCAUUACUCUCCAAAUAAGCAGAAAAAUUGCUAUCCAUGUAUUCUUUUCCAUUGUCAGUUCUCAAAAUUUUCACCUUAGUAUCAAAUUAAGUACAAACCAUCUUAUGAAAGGAUUGAAAAUAAGAAAAGACAUCACUUUUAGCUUUAAUCAAAUAAACCUAAGUCAUUCGAGUGCAACAAUCAAUAAAGGUGACAAAUCAUCGAUUACCAGACAAGGAGACAGUUUGAGUAGGCCCCCAAAAAUCAGAAUGAAUAGUCGCAAAAGGAAUGACUUUUAUUAUGACCCAGAGAAUAGGAUGUUCUAGUGUGUUUAGCAUACUCAUAAGCAUCACAAAAUAGAGAAUCAAACUGAGUUCUAGCAAACAAAUUAGGAUAAAGUUUUUCUAAGGCAAAAAAUGAUGGAUGCCCUAACCGUUUGUGCCACUGUUUUAUUUCCUGAUUGACAUCCUUAUUUUCUCCAAAACAGGCUUGGGAUAUCGAAGAACCUGGAUCACCCUCCAACAUAUAUAAGCCAUCAUGCAGCCUACCAUUGCCAAUCCUCUUUCCUGUGCGAAGAUCCUGAAUAACACAAUGAUUAGAAAAGAAUUCAAUUUUACAAUUAAGGGCAUUGGUAAUAGCAUUGACAGAUAAAAGGUUGACAGGAAAGUGGGGAACAUGAAGGUCAUAUGAUAAUUUAAUGUUGGAUGUGCAAAUAACAGAACCUGUUCCGGAUAUGGGAGUAAAAGAGCUAUCAGCAAUUCUAACACUAUCUUAGAUUAGAGAAGGAAAAUAAUUGAGAAAGCCUUUAGAAGAGCCUGUCAAGUGUCUAUUCGCACUAGAAUCGAUAAUCCAUGGAACAUUAUAAGAGAGGAAGCAUUACCUGAUUUUACAAAGUUAGAUGUGGCACCGAAGGACGAGUAAUCAGAAUUAGGAAUAGAGACCCUUUUACCUUCUGCCAUGGUAAAGAUUUAUGAACCGUGAAAGAAUAGGAGGUACCCAAGGUUGUACACACAAGAAAGCCCAAUCGAUUCACCAAAACAUCGGGUAGCGGCACGGGAAGGCCGGAAAGAUGGUCGGAAUCGUCGCCAGAGUGAUUGGCACGGCAAAACAGCGUCAGGCGAUUAGUCACGCGCUGGGAAGGGGAGGCGCAUAAGCCUCAUGUGCGAGCUUUUUCAGCGUUGGAGCUGGGCGAUCGGCCUGCGACAGUUCUGGUGCCGACGGUGAGAGGAGGAAAGGCUCCUAGAUGAGUUAGUACCAAAAAAGGUAGAUCUAGGGUUUUGAAACCCUAAAGAGGAAAAAAUUGAAUUUGAACCCUAAAAUCAGGAAAAAGCUCUGAUACCAUGAAGAAUUUUGGGAAAAUUUAGAGAAUUCUUGUAUUUCACUCUUAAUCUUUACAAUUGAUUUACAUGACUAUUUAUACACAAAGAAUUAUAUCUAAACAGGAAGUAAAUAAUUAAAUAAUAAUUACAGAGAUAAUUAAGGAUCCUAAUUAAAUCAAAUCAUAUCCCUAGAAUCAGUUGGGAUCAGCAAAUAAGUCAACAAUUGGUAAAAGACACAUCUGGGGGUCUUUACAUUUUAGAUGCAUGGGUGCCUCGGUCUGUUGCCUGCUUCAGUGUCGUGUCUCCGUUUGAAACAUAUUGUCGGUUGGGACACCCUUCUUUACCGGUUUUGAAGAAGUUAUGCCCUCAAUUUCAUGAGGUAUCUUUAUUGGAAUGUGAGUCAUGUCAUUUUGCAAAACAUCAUCGAAGCUUUUUAAGUCCUAGAGUUAAUAAACAAGCUGAGUCUGCUUUUGAAUCAGUCCAUUCAGAUGUUUGGGGCUCAUGUCCGGCUGGAUCUAAGACUGGAUUCAGAUAUUUUAUUACUUUUAUGAAUGAUUACUCUAUAAUGAUUUGGAUUUAUUUUAUGAAGCAUCGUUCGUAAGUGUUUUCUCAUUUUUCUGCCUUUUGUGCUGAAAUCAAGAUUCAAUUUAAUGUUUUUGUGCAAAUUUUGCUUAGCGACAAUGCUAAAGAAUAUAUGUCAGAAUCAUUCUAGACUUAUAUGACUCAACAUCACCAAUCGUCAUGUGUUGAUACACCCGUUCAAAAUGGAAUAGCUGAAAGGAAGAAUCGACAUUUCCUUGAGACUGCUCGAGUUUUGUUGUUUCAAAUGCAAGUUCCUAAGCAAUUUUGGGCC
Molecule: long non-coding RNA, 15065 nt
Filed under: Manihot esculenta (cassava)
Lineage: Eukaryota; Viridiplantae; Streptophyta; Magnoliopsida; Malpighiales; Euphorbiaceae
Description: long non-coding RNA (MESC_LNC007924)
Source: RNAcentral